GAUAAACGCUAGCGGCAGGCUUAACACAUGCAAGUCGAGGGGCAGCAUAGAUUGUAGCAAUACAAUUGGUGGCGACCGGCGCACGGGUGCGUAACGCGUAUGCAACCUACCCGUCACAGGGGGAUAAUCCGGAGAAAUCUGGUCUAAUACCCCAUAACAUAUGGAUCGGCAUCGGGUCAUGUUGAAAUUUUCGGAGGUGACGGAUGGGCAUGCGUAGCAUUAGCUUGUUGGUGGGGUAACGGCUCACCAAGGCGACGAUGCUUAGGGGGUCUGAGAGGUUUUCCCCCCACACUGGUACUGAGACACGGACCAGACUCCUACGGGAGGCAGCAGUGAGGAAUAUUGGUCAAUGGGCGCAAGCCUGAACCAGCCAUGCCGCGUGCAGGAUGACGGCUCUAUGAGUUGUAAACUGCUUUUGUACGAGGGUAAAGUGGGUUACGUGUAACCUUUUGAAAGCAUCGUACGAAUAAGGAUCGGCUAACUCCGUGCCAGCCGCCGCCGUAA
Molecule: ribosomal RNA, 504 nt
Filed under: uncultured bacterium
Lineage: Bacteria
Description: partial 16S ribosomal RNA
Rfam family: Bacterial small subunit ribosomal RNA
Source: RNAcentral